GAGUUUGAUCCUGGCUCAGGACGAACGCUGGCGGCGCGCCUAACACAUGCAAGUCGAACGAGCGAGAGAGAGCUUGCUUUCUCGAGCGAGUGGCGAACGGGUGAGUAACGCGUGAGGAACCUGCCUCAAAGAGGGGGACAACAGUUGGAAACGACUGCUAAUACCGCAUAAGCCCACGGUGCCGCAUGGCACAGGGGGAAAAGGAGCAAUCCGCUUUGAGAUGGCCUCGCGUCCGAUUAGCUAGUUGGUGAGGUAACGGCCCACCAAGGCGACGAUCGGUAGCCGGACUGAGAGGUUGAACGGCCACAUUGGGACUGAGACACGGCCCAGACUCCUACGGGAGGCAGCAGUGGGGAAUAUUGCACAAUGGGGGAAACCCUGAUGCAGCGACGCCGCGUGGAGGAAGAAGGUCUUCGGAUUGUAAACUCCUGUUGUUGAGGAAGAUAAUGACGGUACUCAACAAGGAAGUGACGGCUAACUACGUGCCAGCAGCCGCGGUAAAACGUAGGUCACAAGCGUUGUCCGGAAUUACUGGGUGUAAAGGGAGCGCAGGCGGGAAGACAAGUUGGAAGUGAAAUCUAUGGGCUCAACCCAUAAACUGCUUUCAAAACUGUUUUUCUUGAGUAGUGCAGAGGUAGGCGGAAUUCCCGGUGUAGCGGUGGAAUGCGUAGAUAUCGGGAGGAACACCAGUGGCGAAGGCGGCCUACUGGGCACCAACGGACGCUGAGGCUCGAAAGUGUGGGUAGCAAACAGGAUUAGAUACCCUGGUAGUCCACACCGUAAACGAUGAUUACUAGGUGUUGGAGGAUGGACCCCUUCAGUGCCGCAGUUAACACAAUAAGUAAUCCACCUGGGGAGUACGACCGCAAGGUUGAAACUCAAAGGAAUUGACGGGGGCCCGCACAAGCAGUGGAGUAUGUGGUUUAAUUCGACGCAACGCGAAGAACCUUACCAAGUCUUGACAUCCUCUGACGAACGUAGAAAUACGUUUUCUCUUCGGAGCAGAGAGACAGGUGGUGCAUGGUUGUCGUCAGCUCGUGUCGUGAGAUGCUGGGUUAAGUCCCGCAACGAGCGCAACCCUUAUGGUCAGUUACUACGCAAGAGGACUCUGGCCAGACUGCCGUUGACAAAACGGAGGAAGGUGGGGAUGACGUCAAAUCAUCAUGCCCUUUAUGACUUGGGCUACACACGUACUACAAUGGCGUUAAACAAAGAGAAGCAAGACCGCGAGGUGGAGCAAAACUCAGAAACAACGUCCCAGUUCGGACUGCAGGCUGCAACUCGCCUGCACGAAGUCGGAAUUGCUAGUAAUCGCAGAUCAGCGUGCUGCGGUGAAUACGUUCCCGGGCCUUGUACACACCGCCCGUC
RNAcentral lists this ribosomal RNA (1368 nucleotides) under uncultured bacterium. RNAcentral describes it as "bacterial SSU rRNA". It matches the Rfam family "Bacterial small subunit ribosomal RNA". The record is from RNAcentral.